CACUGACCUAUUUACUGUCUCUCUAGUUUUUCCCUUUCUAGAAUAUCUCAGAGUUGGAGUUAUAUCCUUUUCAGAUUGACUUCUUUUGCCUACCAUGCAUGUAAGUUUCUUCCAUGUCUUUUUUGUGUGUGACAGCUCAUUUCCUUGGGGCACUCAACAAUAUGCCAAUGUAUCAAUGUGUCACGAACUUUUUCCUGAUCAGUGGUUUACUGUUUACCUUGUUUUAGGAUCGGACCAUGAGACUAUGGAAUAUUGAAGACAUUGACCAAAUUCCUUUGGUAAUCAAGUACAAAAAGACCAUGGGCUUAACGAUGAAACAGUGUGAAAGAUGCAGCAGGCCUUUCUCCAUCUUCGAAAGCAACAGCUCUUCUGAGAUACUCACCAAGUGUGUGUUCUGCCGGAGACAGGCAGGGGACUCACUACUGGACGCUUCACUGUCGUCAGAGGAGUACAAGGAGGACUGACAGCCACUGGGCCCUUAAAGUGACCUGAGCAUUAGCCACCUGUCCUGCAGGUUGCAGGGCUCUGCAGAGACCUUUUUCUGGGGCCCCUCAUCAGCUGAGUGGGCCGAUCACACCUGGGCAGGGACCACCCCUAGGCCCGGCUCCCAGCACCAGCCACCUCAGCACCACAGCACCCUUGGGGGAUGAACACUUUGGGUUUUCACGCAGAGUAAAUCUAGAUUCCUUUGGAAAGCUAGUGUGCGUGUGAAUUGUA
RNAcentral lists this long non-coding RNA (717 nucleotides) under Cavia porcellus (domestic guinea pig). RNAcentral describes it as "lncRNA (ENSCPOG00000035844.1)". The record is from RNAcentral. Lineage: Eukaryota; Metazoa; Chordata; Mammalia; Rodentia; Caviidae.